RNAcentral lists this ribosomal RNA (245 nucleotides) under uncultured bacterium. Its description in RNAcentral is "partial 16S ribosomal RNA". It matches the Rfam family "Bacterial small subunit ribosomal RNA", at positions 524 to 768 of the family's 1533-position model. The record is from RNAcentral.
UACGGAGGUGGCAGGCGUUACUCGGAUUGAUUGGGUGUAAAGGGCGUGUAGGCGGUGCGUUAAGUCGAGUGUGAAAUCCCAUGGCUCAACCAUGGAACUGCAUUCGAAACUGACAUGCUUGAGUGUUGGAGAGGAAAGCGGAAUUCCCGGUGUAACAGUGAAAUGUGUAGAUAUCGGGAGGAACACCAGUGGCGAAGGCGGCUUUCUGGACAACUACUGACGCUGAAACGCGAGAGCUAGGGGAG